Molecule: long non-coding RNA, 4040 nt
Filed under: Homo sapiens (human)
Lineage: Eukaryota; Metazoa; Chordata; Mammalia; Primates; Hominidae
Description: HSALNT0364820
Source: RNAcentral
AGUGAGAACUUGUCUCAAAAAAAGAAAAGAAAAUGUAUCCAGGAGGUAGGACCAAAAAACAUUUAAACUCUUUGUGUCCAGGAAUAGAGCAGAGACCUUGAAAAGGCAGAAUUAAGUAUAAUUGCUGUGGUCUGAAUGUUUGUGUCCCCCGCUAAUUCGUAUGUUGAAAUUCUAACCCCCAAGGUGAGGAUGGUAUUUAGAAAGCAGGCCUUUGGAGGCCUAGGGCAUGAGGGCAGAGUCCUAUGAAUCAACUAAGUGCCCUUUUAAAAGGGCCUCUGCCCCUUCCACCAAGUGAGGACACAGCAAGAAGUCAUGCUCUAUGAGAAAGCUGGCUCUCACCAGACACCAGAUCUGCUGGCACCUUGAUCUUGGACUUCUCAGACUUCAAAACUGUGAGAAAUAAGUUUCUGUUGUGUAUUAGCUACCCAGUUUACGGUAUUUUGUUGCAACAGCAUGAACAACCUAGGACAAUAAUUUUAAUGUGUAAAAUUAAAUUUAAAUGUUAAAUUAAGUUUAGCCUAAAGCUACUUCCUUACAUAUUUUAAGUUCAGCCUAAAGGUUUCUCCAUACAUAGUGAACUGUAACCUAACUGAAUGUGCAAACAGACUAUGACCUGCUCUUGUGACAAGCAGCUGAGGCUCAGCCAAUCACAGCAGCUGAGUUUCAGCCAAUCACAGGUGGCCAACUGUUUGUAUAAGGCAAACACCCAGCUGUCACCAAUCCAGCUGUUUCUGUACCUCACUUCUGUCUUUAGUCCGUCACUUUCCUUUCUCCAUAAAUGUUAUUCAACCACGUAGUAGCCCCGGGUUUGCUCUGAACCUGUUCUGGUUCUGGGGGCAGCCCAACUAUUGUAUCAUUCUCUGCUCAAACACUGUUAAAUUUAAUUUGUCUAAAGUGUUUCUUUUAACAAAGAGAAGGUGUAUUAGAUUUCCACCUAAUUUGAAAAUUUCAAAGCCAUAAUGGAGAAGCGCAGGCACUACUGGUCAUUUUUGUCCAGUAGAUGGAGCCCUAGUAGAAAGGAAACAGUCUGGCAAGUAUCAAAAUUUCUCAGAGGAAGAUUUGAACGGGGAAUUCACUGUGGAUUCCACACCCUAAGAGUCCAUUAGGCAGCCUGCCAGAGUUCUCCCCAGCCAGUCUGAGUGAGAACUCCCAGCGGAAGGACCCUGAAAUGAACUAAUAAAGUAACCAGCAGGACAAAGCAAUGUGCCAUGGAAAGAACAACAGAUUUGAUUUUAAUCCGAAUGCCAAGAGUUUGUUUUUGCAAACAUACAAAACUUUAGGAAUUAAGGUGGGUUGGAGGUGGAUUUGUGAUACUCAUUGGAUUAGAAAUAAAAGGUUAACAAGUAUAUUAAAAUUAAAGCCAUAAGGCUGUGAUUUUAUGGUGUGUAUGUAUUUGAGGGAAAGAGGAAAAAAUACAUUUAAAAGGCUUGUAAUUCCCUAAAUACCCAUGACUUAUUAAUUAUACAUGGAGUAAUUAAUAAUACAUAGAGUAAUUAUUACAAUAAUACAUGGAGUAAUUAAAAUUUCUGCAACAUUUGAUUAUCAAGAUGUGAUAUAAUUUAUUGAAUUGGAUUAUAGUUUGUGGAUGUGCUUAGCGCUCUACUACUUUUUAAAAUGCUCUCCCACACAUCAUCAUCAGAGCACAUCUCAGAGAUGGAAAUUUGUGAUUUGCCCAAGGUUAGUGGGGCAACUGAUAAAAAAAGGAUCCUGUCUUACAUACUCCCACCCUUUGUUGUAAGCUCCUGUUGGAUGCCAAGAAUCACCUGCUGCCUUAGUUCUUUGAACAGGUUUUAUGUGUUUGAUGGAAAAAGGGCACUUUUCAAGAGAGAGAAUAGCUGAGCUUUGAAGAAUGGAAUGACCAGGAUCUGAGUAGAGAGAGUGGCAGGAAGGGGAGCUGGGGCUAGGCAAGCUUGGGUUCACAGAGCUGCCCCUCUCUUAUCUACCUGGUGGAGGGGGAGUAGAGAUCAUGAUACUCCAACCCCUCUCUUCAUGAACCUGGAGUAGGGAGAGUAGAAGAGAGAGGGAACAGGGGAAUCUCAUAAGAUUGCUUGGUAGCAUAACGACCUCGGCGAAUUUAAAGUGGAACUGAGGUCCUUAGUCUUAGUCCAUUUGUGCUGCUAUAACAAAGUAUCUUACACUGGGUAAUUUAUAAACAACAGAAAUGUAUUGCUCACAGUUCUGGAGGCUGGGAAGUCCAAGAUAAAGUGCCAGCAGGUUCAAUGUCUGGUAAGGGCUCAUUGCACAGAGAUGGUACCUCUUGCUGCAUUCUCACAUGGUAGAAGGGAGCAAACAGCCUCCUUUUAAUCUCCUUUACAUUAUCCCAUUUAUGAAGGCAGUCUUCAUGACUUAAUCACUUCCCCCAAAGUCUCCACCUCCAUGCUAUGACAUUGAGGAUUAAGUUUCAGCCUAUGAUUUUGGAAAGCAUACCAACAUUCAGACCAUAGAACCAGCCAAUGAGAUUGUGGGCUAUUCUUCCACCAUACUCAAUGGGCAAAGACAUGGAGUAGGGCAGAGAGCUGGAUUUAACCAGGGUUGGAGUUUGGCCAAGUGAGUUUAAAGUACAAUUAAAAGGACAAGGGAGUUUGGGAUCUAUUCAAGAGGGUGACUAUGAUGGACCAUCCAAUUUCAGUUGGAUAAGGAAGUUGAGGACAGCAAGUCACAGUCACAGUCUGAGCCAAUUCUCAGUGGCCAGGGCUAUAGAAGGACACAGGCCAUAAGAAGAUAAGGAGGAACCUUGCACUGCUGGCCUCUGACAGCUAAAUAAUGGCUCCCAAAGAUGUGUCUACAUCCUAAUCUCCAGAAUCUGUGAAUGUUACUUUAUGUGGCAAGAGAGAGGCUGAAGGAGAUUUGGUACCAACAGAAGAGGAGGAGGAAAUUGUGAUCAUGCAGAAACUGGAGUGAUGGAGUCACAAGCCAAGGAAUGCCAGCAGCCACCAGAAGCCGAAAGAGGCCCUGCCAACACCUUGAUUUAGGCCUAAUGAAACUGAGUUUAGAUUUCUGGACCCCAGAACUGUGAAAGAAUAAAUUUCUGUUGUGUUAAGCCCCUAAUUUUGUGGUAAUGUGUCACAGCAGCCCUUGGAACCUAAUACACUCCCCAAGCCAUCACAAUGACGGUUAAGGGAAGUAAAACGAUAAAAUUCAUAAAGAUAAAGAGAAUAACAGAAAAGGAUUUCAAUAAGUGUUUGGAAGAUGGAAAAGGAAAGAAUGAGAAGCAACUUACUUAUCAGAGUAGAGAAAAUUACCUGAGAGCCUGGAGAAAGGGAAGUGAAUAAGACAGAGUCAGUUCUCCCCAGAGAAGCCAGACACAGGGUCAUUGAGCACCAAGCAGGGGCAGGAGUGGGGUGCAGGGCUGGCACUGGGGAUAGAGUGGAAACAUUAACAUGGACCUUGGAUCCCUGGGCCCUGACUCCUCUGACACUGGUCUUCCUGAACUAGCUGCAUCCCUUCUUGUCAUGCCCUCCACUCCAGUCCCUGCCCUUGACCCCACCACCACCACCUCAGCUGACACACAUCAGUUCAGCUCACACUCCUUCUGUUAGAAAGAACCAGUCACAAGGUUCUUCCUGAAUGCAAUGGGGCUGGGAAAUGCUGAGCAGUGCCAGGCACAGGCUUCCUCUAAACCACUCUGCACCAAGGAAGAAGGACAUUUUUUUGAUGGUCUAAUACCCGUCUCUGCCACACUCUCUAAGGCAAUUAAUUUUAAAAUUUUAGAAUACUGGAAAUAAAGAAAAGAUACUAAAAACUUCCAGAAUGAAAAACCAGGUCACAUAUUGCCUUAUGGAUCAGCAAUCUGACUGGCAUCAGCCUUUUCAAUAGCAAUACAAAAUGCCAGAAGACAACAGGGCAAUGCCCUCAAAAUUCUGAGAGAAAAUAUCUUGCUAAUAAAACAUCUAUUACACCUAGCAAGCAGCCAUCCCAAAGGCAGAAGGCUGUGAAAGAACAAAAGGGAGCUAUCUAGGGAGAAAAACAUAACUGUUAAUUAUUAUUAUAAUAAUAAUAUAUUUUUAGAGACAAGGUCUCUGUCAACCCAUGCUGAGGUG